GACGAACGCUGGCGGCGUGCUUAACACAUGCAAGUCGAACGCUGAAGCUCAGCUUUUGUUGGGUGGAUGAGUGGCGAACGGGUGAGUAACACGUGAGUAACCUGCCCCCUUCUUUGGGAUAACGCCCGGAAACGGGUGCUAAUACUGGAUAUUCACUGGUCUUCGCAUGGGGGUUGGUGGAAAGGGUUUUUCUGGUGGGGGAUGGGCUCGCGGCCUAUCAGCUUGUUGGUGGGGUGAUGGCCUACCAAGGCUUUGACGGGUAGCCGGCCCGAGAGGGUGGCCGGUCACAUUGGGACUGAGAUACGGCCCAGACUCCUACGGGAGGCAGCAGUGGGGAAUAUUGCACAAUGGGCGAAAGCCUGAUGCAGCGACGCCGCGUGAGGGAUGGAGGCCUUCGGGUUGUGAACCUCUUUCGCUCAUGGUCAAGCCGCAACAAUGGUUGUGGUGAGGGUAGUGGGUAAAGAAGCGCCGGCUAACUACGUG
This 483-nucleotide ribosomal RNA is filed under the name uncultured bacterium. RNAcentral describes it as "partial 16S ribosomal RNA". It matches the Rfam family "Bacterial small subunit ribosomal RNA", at positions 28 to 507 of the family's 1533-position model. The record is from RNAcentral.